Molecule: ribosomal RNA, 914 nt
Filed under: uncultured bacterium
Lineage: Bacteria
Description: bacterial SSU rRNA
Rfam family: Bacterial small subunit ribosomal RNA
Source: RNAcentral
UUUGAUCCUGGCUCAGAUUGAACGCUGGCGGCGUGCUUAACACAUGCAAGUCGAGCGGCAGCGCGGUAGCAAUACUGGCGGCGAGCGGCGAACGGGUGAGUAAUGCUUCGGAAUCUUCCUCGUAGUGGGGAAUAACCUGGGGAAACUCAGGCUAAUACCGCAUACGAACUACGGUUGAAAGCAGGGGAUCGCAAGACCUUGCGCUAUGAGAUGAGCCGAAGUCGGAUUAGCUAGUUGGUGGGGUAACGGCCUACCAAGGCGACGAUCCGUAGCUGGUCUGAGAGGACGACCAGCCACACUGGGACUGAGACACGGCCCAGACUCCUACGGGAGGCAGCAGUGGGGAAUAUUGGACAAUGGGGGCAACCCUGAUCCAGCGACGCCGCGUGUGUGAAGAAGGCCUGCGGGUUGUAAAGCACUUUUAGUGGGGAUGAAAAGCCGAGGGCUAAUACUCUUCGGUCUUGACCUAACCCAAAGAAAAAGCACCGGCUAACUCUGUGCCAGCAGCCGCGGUAAUACAGAGGGUGCAAGCGUUAAUCGGAAUUACUGGGCGUAAAGCGUGCGUAGUCGGUUAUCUAAGUCGGAUGUGAAAUCCCCGGGCUCAACCUGGGAAUUGCAUUCGAUACUGGAUAGCUAGAGUUCGGCAGAGGGAAGUGGAAUUUCGGGUGUAGCGGUGAAAUGCGUAGAUAUCCGAAGGAACAUCAGUGGCGAAAGCGACUUCCUGGACCAGAACUGACGAUCAGGCACGAAAGCGUGGGGAGCAAACAGGAUUAGAUACCCUGGUAGUCCACGCCAUAACGAUGACAACUAGAUGUUGAGAGGGUAAGCCUCACAGUGUCGCAGCUAACGCGUUAAGUUGUCCGCCUGGGGAGUACGGCCGCAGUUGAAACUCAAAGGAAUUGACGGGACCCGCA